Molecule: long non-coding RNA, 1110 nt
Organism: Vigna radiata var. radiata (mung bean)
Lineage: Eukaryota; Viridiplantae; Streptophyta; Magnoliopsida; Fabales; Fabaceae
Exons: 4
Source: RefSeq, a predicted model, not a curated record
GUAGCUCUUAUGUUCAGAAAAUAAAGUAUGCCUUUAUGAGGUAUAAGCUUUGGUUUGAAUAAAACCAAAUUCGAUCCUCAUAACUAGGUCAGUCACGAAAUCUUUCACUCUUCCGAUUCAAGUUUCACAUUGCUCGGAGUAGGAACGAUCAAGUUUCUACUGACUUUCGCCUCUGGUGCCGCGACGCCAUCGACGGGAUCCUCGUGAGCAUAAAGCAGCUUCAGGAUGAUGUUAGGUUCCUCCGAUCGUUGCCCGCUAAAUUCAUCCGUUUGUUAAACUUUGCUCUUAGGGAAGUACUUGGCAAUCAUGUUGACUAGAAAGGAUCCAUUGUUCUACCUCAAAAAUUGAGAUUCGACUUUUUCUCAUGGCAAGCCUGUUGACGCCGACAAUUUAAGGAGAAUUGAGGCAAUUGUUAAUGAGCAAAUUAAAGCUGAAUUGGAUGUAAGUGCAAAGGAAGCAACUCUUGCCGAAGCCAAGCGUAUCAAAGGAAGUCUAUGUUAUAAUUCCUUUUAUUAUAACUUCAACUUAACCCAUAUUUUUAUUAUUCUACUUAAUUGAAUUUUCUAGGGUCUUACAGUUUUAUCCUAGAUCAUGUUCCUCAAUAUUUUGCCUUGGUGUCCCGAUCCUGUUAGAGUUGUGUCAAUUGGACAAAAAGUUGAGGAUCUUCUUGCUGACCCUGACAAUGAAAAAUGGUUAUCUAUUUCAAUAGAACUAUGUGGAGAUGUGUAGUGGAGUUGAUGAAAAUGCAACUGGAGUAUGGGCACAGCUUGUGUUUGCACCUAUCGAUGACUCUUUUGCAAAUGAUGCUCUGUUACUGCCUUCUGGUUUCCGCAUCAUAUCAUUGGAUCCUAUGAUGACGCAUUUGAUUUUGAAAUCACUUGGUCUUGUUAUUUUCUUAAGUAGCUUUUUGAAGGGACUCAUGAACAUGAACAUGUUUUGUCUUACAUAUGAACAUGUUUUGUCUAACAUGAUUACGUGUUUCUGAAUAUUUGUUGAUUUCAUGAUGGUCCAACUUCAACUAGGACACUAGAUUUGGCAUCAGCACUAGACAUAGGAUCUGGUAAUACUCGCCCUGCUGUGAAACUGAUCUGAAUAACUACAACUUUAAAA